GGAGGGUAUAGCUCAGUGGUAGAGCACAUGCCUAGCAUGCAUGAGGUCCUGGGUUCAAUCCCCAGUACCUCCA
This 73-nucleotide transfer RNA is filed under the name Vicugna pacos (alpaca). Its description in RNAcentral is "tRNA-Ala (AGC) (tRNA-Ala-AGC-55-1)". It matches the Rfam family "tRNA". From Rfam's summary of the family: Transfer RNA (tRNA) molecules are approximately 80 nucleotides in length. Their secondary structure includes four short double-helical elements and three loops (D, anti-codon, and T loops). Further hydrogen bonds mediate the characteristic L-shaped molecular structure. tRNAs have two regions of fundamental functional importance: the anti-codon, which is responsible for specific mRNA codon recognition, and the 3' end, to which the tRNAs corresponding amino acid is attached (by aminoacyl-tRNA synthetases). tRNAs cope with the degeneracy of the genetic code in two manners: having more than one tRNA (with a specific anti-codon) for a particular amino acid; and 'wobble' base-pairing, i.e. permitting non-standard base-pairing at the 3rd anti-codon position. Lineage: Eukaryota; Metazoa; Chordata; Mammalia; Artiodactyla; Camelidae. The record is from RNAcentral.